GAUGAACGCUGGCGGCGUGCCUAAUACAUGCAAGUCGAGCGAACGGACGAGAAGCUUGCUUUUCUGAUGUUAGCGGCGGACGGGUGAGUAACACGUGGAUAACCUACCUAUAAGACUGGGAUAACUUCGGGAAACCGGAGCUAAUACCGGAUAAUAUUUUGAACCGCAUGGUUCAAAAGUGAAAGACGGUCUUGCUGUCACUUAUAGAUGGAUCCGCGCUGCAUUAGCUAGUUGGUAAGGUAACGGCUUACCAAGGCAACGAUGCAUAGCCGACCUGAGAGGGUGAUAGGCCACACUGGAACUGAGACACGGUCAAGACUCCUAAGGGAGGCAGCAGUAGGGAAUCUUACGCAAUGGGCGAAAGCCUGACGGAGCAACGCCGCGUGAGUGAUGAAGGUCUUCGGAUCGUAAAACUCUGUUAUUAGGGAAGAACAUAUGUGUAAGUAACUGUGCACAUCUUGACGGUACCUAAUCAGAAAGCCACGGCUAACUACGUG
This 497-nucleotide ribosomal RNA is filed under the name uncultured bacterium. RNAcentral describes it as "partial 16S ribosomal RNA". It matches the Rfam family "Bacterial small subunit ribosomal RNA", at positions 28 to 507 of the family's 1533-position model. The record is from RNAcentral.